UAUCAGUUAUGAGCAAAGUUGUUACUGAUUUCUUGUAUCUCCCAGGAUUCCUGUUGCUUUACCCACAACAGACAAGUGACUGAAAACUCCCGAGGCAUUUCCUGGAGUAGAAUGGGUAGUGAAGAGCCAUGUCAGCGAUCAGAGGACCCCGGAAACCAGGAGAGCUGCCUGCUGUGUGGAGGCUGGCCUGAGGGCAUUUGCUGAGCACAGAAACCCUGGAGGGAUCAGCAGUCUUUCCCACUCCACCUCUUGAUCUGUCUGAUUUGCACACAGAAAGCCAGCCAGGAUCCCCUAAGAGAGUCUCUAGGCCCAGAACGGAGUCCUCAGGGCUGCAGGGGGCUGUGAUGCUAACAAUUAAACCCGCUCAGGACUUC
Molecule: long non-coding RNA, 374 nt
Filed under: Ursus maritimus (polar bear)
Lineage: Eukaryota; Metazoa; Chordata; Mammalia; Carnivora; Ursidae
Description: lncRNA (ENSUMAG00000008565.1)
Source: RNAcentral